UGCCUACUGAAAAUUAACUUCCAGUUAACUGAAUUCUGUGAGCCGUGCCAAUGUAAGAAUAAUGUACCAAAGCCAAUUUGGCAGCUCCUCUUAGCUUCACCCCACCUGGAGAGCAUAUCCUUGUUAAGACAGAUAUUCUCCUUUUACCAAGGAAGAACGUGAAUCUCAAAGAGGUUAAGGAAAUUACCCAAAGCAAUGUAGAUGAUAAAGAAGCUGAGAUUUAAAGAUGUUAAGUAGCUGGGCGUGGUGGCUCACGCCUGUAAUCCCAGCACUUUGGGAGGCUGAGGCGGGCGGAUCACCUGAGGUCAGGAGUUCGAGACCAGCCUCAACAUGGAGAAACCUCAUCUCUACUAAAAAUACAAAAUUAGCCGGGCAUGGUGGUGCAUGCCUGUGACCCCAGCUACU
This is a long non-coding RNA of Gorilla gorilla gorilla (western lowland gorilla), 405 nucleotides long. RefSeq lists it as uncharacterized. The transcript has 3 exons. The record is from RefSeq and is a predicted model, not a curated record. Lineage: Eukaryota; Metazoa; Chordata; Mammalia; Primates; Hominidae.